GCUGGGCGCAGUGCCCACGCCUGUCAUCCCAGCGGCUCAGGAGGCCGAGGCAGGAGGAUCGCCGGUUGGAGGCCAGCCUCAGCCACUUAGCGAGGCCCUAAGCAACUCAGUGAGACCCUGACUCUA
This 126-nucleotide small RNA is filed under the name Marmota monax (woodchuck). The record is from RNAcentral. Lineage: Eukaryota; Metazoa; Chordata; Mammalia; Rodentia; Sciuridae.